UACGAGGGGUGCAAGCGUUAUUCGGAAUUAUUGGGCGUAAAGGGCGUGUAGGCGGCUUUUUAAGUCAUCUGUUAAAGACCAUCGCAUAACGAUGGGAGUGCAGGUGAAACUGAAAGGCUAGAGUGUAGGAGAGAGAAGUGGAAUUCUUGGAGUAGCGGUAAAAUGCGUAGAUCUCAAGAGGAACACCAAUGGCGAAGGCAGCUUCUUGGCCUAUUACUGACGCUGAGGCGCGAAAGCGUGGGGAGCAAACAGG
RNAcentral lists this ribosomal RNA (253 nucleotides) under uncultured bacterium. Its description in RNAcentral is "partial 16S ribosomal RNA". It matches the Rfam family "Bacterial small subunit ribosomal RNA", at positions 524 to 776 of the family's 1533-position model. The record is from RNAcentral.